GCCAAUAUGUUGCCUUUAUCUGCAUUUGCACCUGCACUUUACCUGGAUCUGUAACAUACAAAAUUGUUUUAUAUAUAAAAAAAAAUUAUAUUACAAUUUAUGAGGGACCCCAGGCAAGGUGCAGAUGUAUAUGCAGGUGAAUGCCAUGUUGGU
This 153-nucleotide microRNA precursor is filed under the name Cicer arietinum (chickpea). RNAcentral describes it as "MIR530 microRNA precursor family". It matches the Rfam family "MIR530 microRNA precursor family". Lineage: Eukaryota; Viridiplantae; Streptophyta; Magnoliopsida; Fabales; Fabaceae. The record is from Rfam by way of RNAcentral.